RNAcentral lists this transfer RNA (61 nucleotides) under Aspidomorpha difformis. RNAcentral's name for it is "tRNA-Pro". The record is from RNAcentral. Lineage: Eukaryota; Metazoa; Arthropoda; Insecta; Coleoptera; Chrysomelidae.
CAAGGAAUAGUUUAUAAAAAAUAUUAAUUUUGGAGAUUAAAGAAAAACUUUUUUUCCUUGA